RNAcentral lists this ribosomal RNA (118 nucleotides) under Helianthus annuus (common sunflower). Lineage: Eukaryota; Viridiplantae; Streptophyta; Magnoliopsida; Asterales; Asteraceae. The record is from RNAcentral.
GGUUGCGAUCAUACCAGCACUAAUGCACCGGAUCCCUUCAGAACUCCGCAGUUAAGCGUGCUUGGGCGAGAGUAGUACUAGGAUGGGUGACCCCUGGGAAGUCCUCGUGUUGCAACCC